AUUGAACGCUGGCGGCAGGCCUAACACAUGCAAGUCGAGCGGAUGAAGGGAGCUUGCUCCUGGAUUCAGCGGCGGACGGGUGAGUAAUGCCUAGGAAUCUGCCUGAUAGUGGGGGAUAACGUCCGGAAACGGGCGCUAAUACCGCAUACGUCCUGAGGGAGAAAGUGGGGGAUCUUCGGACCUCACGCUAUCAGAUGAGCCUAGGUCGGAUUAGCUAGUUGAUGGGGUAAAGGCCUACCAAGGCGACGAUCCGUAACUGGUCUGAGAGGAUGAUCAGUCACACUGGAACUGAGACACGGUCCAGACUCCUACGGGAGGCAGCAGUGGGGAAUAUUGGACAAUGGGCGAAAGCCUGAUCCAGCCAUGCCGCGUGUGUGAAGAAGGUCUUCGGAUUGUAAAGCACUUUAAGUUGGGAGGAAGGGCAGUAAGUUAAUACCUUGCUGUUUUGACGUUACCAACAGAAUAAGCACCGGCUAACUUCGUG
Molecule: ribosomal RNA, 484 nt
Filed under: uncultured bacterium
Lineage: Bacteria
Description: partial 16S ribosomal RNA
Rfam family: Bacterial small subunit ribosomal RNA
Source: RNAcentral